RNAcentral lists this ribosomal RNA (725 nucleotides) under uncultured bacterium. RNAcentral describes it as "bacterial SSU rRNA". It matches the Rfam family "Bacterial small subunit ribosomal RNA", at positions 59 to 774 of the family's 1533-position model. The record is from RNAcentral.
CAGUCGAACGGAGAUAUCAUUUUCGAAGCGAUUAGUUUACUAAGAGUGGAGAUGUUGGUAUCUUAGUGGCGGACGGGUGAGUAACGCGUGGGUAACCUGCCUUACACUGGGGGAUAACACUUAGAAAUAGGUGCUAAUACCGCAUAACAGGGAAAGAUGCAUGUCUUUUCCUUGAAAACUCCGGUGGUGUAAGAUGGACCCGCGUCUGAUUAGCUGGUUGGCGGGGUAACGGCCCACCAAGGCGACGAUCAGUAGCCGGCCUGAGAGGGUGAACGGCCACAUUGGGACUGAGACACGGCCCAAACUCCUACGGGAGGCAGCAGUGAGGGAUAUUGGUCAAUGGGGGAAACCCUGAACCAGCAACGCCGCGUGAGGGAAGACGGUUUUCGGAUUGUAAACCUCUGUCCUCUGUGAAGAUAAUGACGGUAGCAGAGGAGGAAGCUCCGGCUAACUACGUGCCAGCAGCCGCGGUAAUACGUAGGGAGCGAGCGUUGUCCGGAUUUACUGGGUGUAAAGGGUGCGUAGGCGGGUAAGCAAGUCAGAAGUGAAAUCCAUGGGCUUAACCCAUGAACUGCUUUUGAAACUGUUUAUCUUGAGUGAAGUAGAGGUAGGCGGAAUUCCCGGUGUAGCGGUGAAAUGCGUAGAGAUCGGGAGGAACACCAGUGGCGAAGGCGGCCUACUGGGCUUUAACUGACGCUGAAGCACGAAAGCGUGGGUAGCAAACA